GACGAACCGUCCAAACGUUAUUCGGUAUCACUGGGCUUAAAGCGUUCGUAGGCGGCCUGGUAGGUGAGGUGUGAAAGCCCACGGCUCAACCGUGGAACAGCGCUUCAAACCACCAGGCUUGAGGAUGGCAGGGGUAAUGGGAACUGAUGGUGGAGCGGUGAAAUGCGUUGAUAUCAUCAGGAACACCGGUGGCGAAAGCGCAUUACUGGGCCAUUUCUGACGCUGAGGAACGAAAGCUAGGGUAGCGAACGGG
RNAcentral lists this ribosomal RNA (253 nucleotides) under uncultured bacterium. RNAcentral describes it as "partial 16S ribosomal RNA". It matches the Rfam family "Bacterial small subunit ribosomal RNA", at positions 524 to 776 of the family's 1533-position model. The record is from RNAcentral.